Molecule: ribosomal RNA, 575 nt
Filed under: uncultured bacterium
Lineage: Bacteria
Description: partial 16S ribosomal RNA
Rfam family: Bacterial small subunit ribosomal RNA
Source: RNAcentral
UGGGGAAUUUUGGACAAUGGGCGAAAGCCUGAUCCGGCAAUGCCGCGUGUGUGAAGAAGGCCUUCGGGUUGUAAAGCACUUUUGUCCGGAAAGAAAUCCUUGGCUCUAAUACAGUCGGGGGAUGACGGUACCGGAAGAAUAAGCACCGGCUAACUACGUGCCAGCAGCCGCGGUAAUACGUAGGGUGCAAGCGUUAAUCGGAAUUACUGGGCGUAAAGCGUGCGCAGGCGGUUUGCUAAGACCGAUGUGAAAUCCCCGGGCUCAACCUGGGAACUGCAUUGGUGACUGGCAGGCUAGAGUAUGGCAGAGGGGGGUAGAAUUCCACGUGUAGCAGUGAAAUGCGUAGAGAUGUGGAGGAAUACCGAUGGCGAAGGCAAUCCCCUGGGCCUGCACUGACGCUCAUGCACGAAAGCGUGGGGAGCAAACAGGAUUAGAUACCCUGGUAGUCCACGCCCUAAACGAUGUCAACUAGUUGUUGGGGAUUCAUUUCCUUAGUAACGUAGCUAACGCGUGAAGUUGACCGCCUGGGGAGUACGGUCGCAAGAUUAAAACUUAAAUGAAUUGACGGGGUCAUA